RNAcentral lists this unclassified non-coding RNA (21 nucleotides) under Dictyostelium discoideum. The record is from RNAcentral. Lineage: Eukaryota; Evosea; Eumycetozoa; Dictyosteliales; Dictyosteliaceae.
AACUAAUAAGUUCUACAUCGA